UGGUAUUUAUACGCACACAGAUAAUCCGCAAGCGCACGGAUACCGUUGAAGCUUUUACCCGGUUAAAGGUUUUACCGUAUCCACAGGGAAACGGGAGAACCAACUACGCUCUAACUUAACCAAGAUAAAUAGAUAAGUGUAAAUAGGAAAGAUGGUAGAAUUGAAUAAGAACAAUAUUAAAGGUAAGAUAGCAAUGGGUGAUAAUAUGGGAAUAGAGAAUAGAGCAAUUCUAGUAUAUGGGCGAUGGUAGCAGAAUAGAGAGGAUAACUAUGGUUUCUCUACUUCAAAGGGGUAUGUCUAUGUCUGAGACGAACCACGUGAUAAGAUUACACCACAAAGGAUGCUUAUCCAUAGGCCGAUAAACCCUACCCAUCCUGCUAACGAGAGGUAGACUACAGAGGACCAACGUAACUGUCACCUACGCGGCCUACCACACGAUCCAGCUAGACAGGGGAUAUCCACAAGUAAUCUAGAUCUAAGCACCACGCUUACACCUAUACUACAACUCUCACCUAUAGCGUCCUAUAGAUUAAAGUACUCAAAAGAGCUGUGAACCAUAACAUACAUAAUUAGUAAUUGCAUAAUGAAUUAGAAGUAGAUUACCAGAGUCAUCCCAUGAGCAAGCUUGAUUAGAGCUUGAUCAUGACGAAGUACAACCGGAGGAAGAACCGACAGGCCGGCCUCUCCUCUAAUCCUCCUUCGCUCUCCAUCUUGCUACUAUCCAGAUCUACUCUAGUUUACAGAAGAGAGGAGAGCUCUCAUCUCUAAACCCUAGCUUUUGCUCUAUCUAUGAAUAAUGAAUAAUGAUCAAGGGGUGCCUCCUCCAGGGGCCAGGGGGUCUGGUUAUAUAGUCUUUUCAGAUGAAUCUGGGCCGUCGGAUCAAACCGACAUUGAUCGUGUGGUUUUCCUUGAAGUAUUAGGUCGGUGGAGCAUGAUCCGCGAAGUUGAAGCUGAUUGGUUACUGUAGCUGGGCGGGCACCCAAGGGACUUGGGCGGGCGCCCUGCCCCCGGGCCCGAUCGGCCUCCCGUUCGUUCCCGUGGCUUCUGGAGUCUUCUAGAUGGUAGAAAAUUGCGCGGCACGUUAAUAUCUCUAUGUAAACCCGACGUGUGGGCCUUUCUUUCAUAUUUCCUGAUAACCCCCUGCAGAAAUAGACAAACACCAAAACUCGAGGAAUUCUGUCAGAUAAAACCCUAAGUUUAGAUGUUGGUUGUAUUUGGAUCCUUUUCUUUAUUUAUUUGAUAAUUAAAUUUGAUACUUAAGGAACAGCAACAAACUCCCCCAAGCUUACCUCUUGCUCAUCCCUGAGCAAGGAUAGACUCAGCAAUGGAUCAGAAGUUGUUGCAAUAUCUUAAAAAUUUGACGGUACACAUGCUUUUAAAUAAGAUCUCAUCUCUGAGUUAGAGUAAACUGUCAAGAACUAAAACUUACUUACUUUACCUUUCACCAUGGGACUUGUAACCAUCACUUCUGUCUUGAGUAGUUAAAAGAUAGAACAGUCUAGCCAAGUGUCAUGUCUCUUAUUCUUGAUCAGCUAUAGCUCUGGAGUUUUUGCAGAUUUUCAAAUAAAACUCAGAGAUUCCUUGUAUGACUCUCUAAAUCUCUCUUUUGUGGUAUUUCUGGAUCCUUACCAAGGCAGUGAUGGUAUAUGCCUUCUCUCAAGAUAUGUGGUAUUUGUGGUAUAAGGCAUUGUGACAUUGCCUUCUCUCUCACCCUACUCUAAUAUGGCUUUAAUAUCUGGAGCUCAUAGGUGGGAGAUAAAGUAUACAUACUUACAAGACAUUUAUUGUAUAGUCAAACCAUGGAUCCAAGGAAACAAAUCAAUAAGUCAAAUCAAGAUGUGCAUGUGUGGCGAAUGAAUGGUGUAUGGUGAUGAUGGUGAUAACAAUGGUGAAAGUCUAAUUCUACUUUUGCUCUUUUGAGGGGAUACAUACCUUCUUUGCUUUUUGAAACUUUAUGAGGAUAAUGAGAUGCUCUAUCUUUCAUUUUUCUUUCCUCUCAGGUGGUAUCCUGUACCCAUAAUUCUACUGUCGGACACUUGUCCAUUUUUACCUCUCGUCUCACUCUUUUUUCUUUUCUUUCGAGGUUCCGGACACUUGCCCCUUUUUAUUUCCUCGUUUAUUUAUUUUUUUUCUCUUUUCUUCUCUUUCUUUUUUUUUCAGAGCACUCAUCUCUUGAGAUAAUAUAGCAAGUGGUAGUAGCAAGAUAACUUGAGCAUUUAUUUCACAAGGGAAAACAGAAAUAUUUUUGGCUAUUCUCUCCCGGAUUAGGAGUAGAAUAUUUUUGGGUGGUUCUGGAGAUGGAAAUGAGUGGAUAUAUGUGGAUGGUACUUCUGGAGUAGAAGUAGCAUAUAUGAGUGAAUGUGCAAGUGAAAUCUUGAUUUAACCACAUGACAAGCUCCUAAGGGUCUACACAGCUUGACCACACUCAAUGCUCAUAAGCAGUAAAUAGUAAAUGUGUGGCUCAAAGUCUAGCAAGCAUGUACAUAUGGCUGUGGUAGGAAUUUAAACUCUCAUCAUACAGGAACUCAUCAUGCAAUAUUUUAAAGAUUUUUUCAAAGAUAAAAUUCUCCAGAAUUCUAGCAUCUCUAGAAACAGAUAAACAGCAGCUCAACCUUCCCAUAUCAUAUCCGUUAACAACUUAGAUAUUAGAUCAAGUUUUCAUCCCACAAGUUUAGAUCUAGAGCAAGCUUUAAAUUAUAACAGUUAUGUCUAAACUUGAGAGAGAACUUCAAAUUUGCAAAUUAGGCAGAGCAACUAUUCAUCAUAUCCAUGCUAGAGUUUUAUUAUUAAGAUUCAGAUUAGCAUAGCCACUUUAUUUAUUUAUUAAACACACUAAGCAAAAGAUAUAUAUAAGCACAAAAUGUUUAUUUGGUUUUUCAUAGUUUAUGUAUUUUAAUAUUCUAAUAUAAUAUAAGUAUAAAGAUAGAUAGAAAUACUUAGCGAGAUAAAUGGGAGUGGUCUCCCCCAAGCUGAAUUUUGACGUAAUUUCUCUUGAUGUAGCUAGCAGGUGGCAGAGGUGUAUUUGAAAGUCAGCAGCAUUCUGACAGCGAUUAGAAUGUCCUCCGUCUGCUAGUCUUCUUGAUUCUUAAAUUCUGUGGAGCUCAAAUAGACAACAAAGCUUGUCGAAAUAAUUAAGUGUUAGCAUAAAUAUCUAGCCUUCAUCAUGUUGAGCUUCCUCAAUAAAUAUUACUCCCUGUUUUUAUAUUUUUCUUUUAUAAAGCAGAAAAAAAUAUUUAUUUUAUUUUUAUGCCACCACAGUGAAGGUACUUAUGGGUUUUACGCCACUCGUAUACUCACAUGGGGCUUAGUAUUUUUUAAAAAUUUUAUUUUCUUUUCAGGAUAGCAUGAUUAACUAAUAAUCUAUUUAAGGAAAGUAAAUAAUUAAAGGGAAAAGGGAAUGCAAAAAGGAUAAAUAUGGAUAACUACCGAUCUUAUCUUUCGGCGAGGGUUCAAUGUUUUAAGUCUUCUUAACAAGACUUCUCACCGUGUUCAUUCUUCAGGUGCGUCAUUUGAUUCAGGUGCGGACCUUGACGUCUGCACCUCUUGAUACGGUGUCACCCAUGUUCUUCGUUUGCCCAGCAGUUCAAAGUGCGGCGUUGGCAGUAACCUGCUCAGUGUGUUUGUGCUCGUAGAUCCAGGUCCUUCACUUGGUAGAGUCUGAGAGUUAUAAAACUCCUCCGUGUUUUGCUCAAAGUGUACCUGCUCAUAGAGACAAGGCAGAGAUCAAGUGCAUGGGUCCUGUUGGUGGAAAACACCAACAGAACCUAAAGUGUAUUUGUUCUUCUCUAACCCUAAGCAUAGUGAGCAAGACAAAGUUGAUGGAUGAAAAGUUCAUGAGUGUAGCACUUAUAACAUUUGUCAGAUCAGAUCGCUCAACCUUAUGGAAAGAUAAUCUAUCUAUGUAUAUGUCUUUUUCUUUAUAUCUCUCAAAGAUUGAAUGUGUAACAUUUUAGCUCAUAUGAUUAGGAGUGUGGGAUCACAAAAGUAGAAGG
RNAcentral lists this long non-coding RNA (3992 nucleotides) under Sorghum bicolor (sorghum). RNAcentral describes it as "long non-coding RNA (SBIC_LNC008630)". Lineage: Eukaryota; Viridiplantae; Streptophyta; Magnoliopsida; Poales; Poaceae. The record is from RNAcentral.